AUGCUAGCAAGCAGCGACCUUUCUCCAAAUAUCUCAUCAAAUGGAGAUGCUGUUGGGGAUGCCCCUGGCCGUGAGCCCGGUGGCAUCGCCAUUGUGGUCAGAGGUAUUGGGGUAAAGCAGCAUGUAUGGGAACUUGACCGGGCCAUUGCGGUUCUUGAGCUGGGGGUUCCCGUUCAAGGCUACCACCUCGCUCUCGAUGCCCUCCAGCCUCGUGCCAAACCGCUCGAACGCCUCCAGAGCCUUGGCGUCCGAUGUCCACUCCGGCGUGUCACGUUGCCCGAGGUAAAUCUCGUCCGAGGAGUGCUUGGAUAG
RNAcentral lists this ribosomal RNA (312 nucleotides) under Triticum aestivum (bread wheat). RNAcentral's name for it is "partial small subunit ribosomal RNA". The record is from RNAcentral. Lineage: Eukaryota; Viridiplantae; Streptophyta; Magnoliopsida; Poales; Poaceae.